This is a long non-coding RNA of Apis mellifera (honey bee), 1474 nucleotides long. RefSeq lists it as uncharacterized. The transcript is spliced from 3 exons. NCBI's taxonomy places the organism in Eukaryota, Metazoa, Arthropoda, Insecta, Hymenoptera, Apidae. The record is from RefSeq and is a predicted model, not a curated record.
AAAAGGAUAUAAAAUAUUUUAUAAAAAUAACUGACAUGUACGUUUUCAACUAUUUCGAUAUCAAAACAAAAAUUUUUAUUUUACUAUAUAAUUAUACCAUAUUAUUAUUUUACCUUUAUUGAUAUUAAUAUUUUUUAAAUAAGAUUUUUAAAAUUUUUGUAGUUUUAUGACAUUUAGAGUGUAUACCAAUCAUAGUAGUUCGAAAACUAUAUUUAAAUAAUUUGUAAAAAAAAAAAGAUAAAAUAGUUGUUUAUGAGAAUAGUUAUCUUGAAUUCCAGGAAAACGCUUUCUGUUUGGUACCAUGUUUUGGAGGCAGCCUCAAUAAGUUUAUAUGUAUAAGACGUAGUCAUGACAUGAAUUCUUAAGAGCGAUGCCCCAUUUUUAGGUUAUGUCCGUAGCAGUUCAUAAAUAGAGAAGUCAAACCGCGAUAUAGAAGUCUCUUCCUUAUGAAUAAACAUGGAUAAAUUAUAAAAAAUAUCAAAGGAAUAUUUUAUGGAUUAUUUAUAAAAAAAAAGGUUAAAAAUAAUUUUUUGUAAAAUUAAAUAUUGUUGAACGAAGAAUGAGUUUUAAAACUUUUGAUAAUUUUGCUCAGUGAUUAGAAAAAUAAUAUAUUAUUGUUUAUCAAGUGAAUAUACAGUCUAGCUAGAAACUGAUAUUAGUGAACUAUCAAUAUUAACUAAUAUUGGACAUUACUUAUAAAAAAUUUCAUUUUCAUUUUCAAAAUCUCAUGAAUAAACAAUUUUCAAAAAUCAAAAUUCCAAAUCUGAAAAAAAAAAACUUUAUAAAGCAAUUUCACAGACAAAUACAUGAAAAAUAUCCAAAAAAGCUUUCUUGCAUGAUUUAAUAGCAUUAUGGGACUGGAAACGUUCAAGAUUACCAGAACCAGUUAAUCUGAAAACCUGUACAAAUAUAUAUCCAACUAACAAGGGAUGGGAUUCUACCAAUGAAUAUUACUUCUCCGAUUAUUAAUUCCAUUAAUAUAUCUCAACCGUUUCGACCGUUAUAAUACCGUUAAAAUUAUACUAAUAAAUCGUCCUGAUAAUCCCGCCAUUAACGUGUACCUCGCCUCGUUUUAUCGACAGCGUUUGUCGUUUCGCGAGUCAUUGUCGCGGAAAAUAUCCGCUCCGCCAGUCUGGUUGGAUUGUUCACCCAUUUACAGGGUAGAAAUCUCGUAUGAUAGGAACCACUGUAUUGUACUAAGUGCCAUGAAGAUAAAUUCGUUCAUUCGUCUUGUAAAAACAUAUCCAAUCAUUGGAAAAAGCUUCUUAAAAAUGCAAUGCAUUUGAUACCUGUUUUACUUAAUGGAAAUAAUACUUAAAUACUUAAAUAUUUCAAAAAAUCUUUAUUGUAUUCUAUAUUUAAUAUUUAAUAUAAUUUAAAUUAUUUGAAACUUUUUUCUUAGAAUUUAUUCUUGUUUUUUGUAAAUAUUUUGAAAAAAUUAUAAGAAAUUAUAAUAAAUAUUAGAAUGUAUUGA